ACCACCAACUAAUGUGGAAAAAGAAAUAGCCAACGACUUUCACUUUCCAUAAUCAAAAUGAAAGAAAGUCAACCUAUUUCUGAAAUUGCGGUCAGUCUCGCUACCUCUUUAGUUACCGCCCCUACUUGCUCAUUCGCAAUUACUAGCACAAGAAAGUCGCCCCGAUAGAAAGAUUCAAUCUUCUUCUCUGUCUGGGAGUCGCUCUUGAAUGCCGCUUGCCCCAUUUCCUCCUCACAAUCACACACAAUUCAUUACAGAGAUGAAAACCGCCCUCUGGAACAGGGUAGGUAGUAAAUGUAAUGCUUAAAUGCUAAAUCCUCUUUGACCUCAAAGAAUUUGUGGAGGAAAGGCAUGCCAAGCAACACCAUUUUGGUGGAGACUUAUCCUUCUUUGGGUUUUCUGUUUUGGAAUUGUUUUUUCUUAUAACCAUCUGAAUUCCUUCUCUACAGUCUGCUUCAUUUAUUUGUUCACGUCGAAGGAGUAAUUGCCAUGGCAGAACAAGCAUUCAAAAGGUAAGAUUUGAGAUCAAUAGAUAAGAGCUGUUCUUAUGGAUUUGGAGCCUGGUACUAUGAUCAGUGUUAGAUCUAGGACUACUGGUCAAAUUUUCAGGCCUCAUAACUUAAUUUUCGGUCAGUUGGGUGCUGGUAACAACUGGGCAAAGUGUCAUUACACCGAGGGUGCUGAGUUGAUCGAUUCUGUUCUUUCUGUUGUUCUUAAAGAAGCUGAGAAUUGUGAUUGCAUACAAGUGAAGUUUCUUUUGACUUCAAGGGGAAAACAUAAUGAAAAUUCCAAGGGAGAAGUUCUAUGACAUUACUGAUAUGCAGCUUGAGUACAACAACAACAAUAACAUACCUAGUAUAAUCCCACAAGUGGGGUGUGGGGAGGGUAUAUACGCAGGCCUUACCUCUACCUUUGUGGCUUUGUGGGGUAGAGAGGCUUGAGUGCAUCAAAAUAUAUUGACCUGGUAAGUCCAAAUCUGCAAACGUUACCAUAAAAGGAUAGGACGAGGUUAAACAUUUUAUAUUAAUCGGUUAAAGGGAUCGAUUCUUAUAGAAUGUGGUACUUUCUUUAACAUAUUGAAUAGAGGUUAAUCCAAGCUGAUAUUACUUAAACUUAUUACAAAUCCUAAUUUCUCAGUCCACGAGUUGAAAUAUUUCUAUAUGAAAUAGAAGUUCUAACCAGAAGUAAUCCAAUAUUGAAAAAGGAAAACUAAGGUAGCAAAAAAAAUCAUAUUUUUUAAAUUAUGAAUUUUUCGAUUGCAAGAAGCUUCCAAAUAAAAUGGUAGUUCAAAAUUGAAAUCUUUGAAUAGAUUGAUAACAUCCAAAUUCACUCCUCAAAGAGAAAGUGUACACGGUCGUAUGCAAUAUAAUUUACCCAACUAUGAGUCGGGGUCGAUCUCACAGGGAACAAUAUGCUAGGCGAUUUAAACAAGUUAGGAAUUAUCACUUUUUACGCUAAGCCAAACACUUGAUAAUAAUUUGGUUUUUUGAUAAAAUUAUAACUAAUGCAAAAAUAUAAACUAAUCUAGAACGCGAAUAAAAUAAUCAAUGGCCACAAGCAUGGAUUCAAGAGAAAUUACUCUCAAGUAAUGAUCCAAUGUAUUUUACAAUUUUACAACUAUGAGCGGGUUUAUGUUAAUAGAUAAUGAUUUCUAAAAUCUCAUUGAAAGUCUCUCAACCAAAUCAAUGAAUUUCACUCUAAGCUUUCUCAAGCCUUAGAGUGUGAUGUUAAACACAAUCAAUUCAACCUCAAGUUAACUAUUAUAUCUCUAGCUUAAGUUAUUAGAUGAGUUUAAUGACCCAAUUCCUUGCUAUCUAACUCUUUUCCUAACUUUCACUUUCUUUCUCAAGCAAAGUAAAAGUAUUUAGGCACAAAUAAUGUUUGCAACCAUUAAGAGACAUUUAAGCAUGAAGAGUUGAUAGAAAAACAUUAACCCACUUCAUUAGAAAUAAAAAUUGUUCAAUACAUAAGCAAAAUAAGAAAUUGAAUUCAACACUUGAUAAUGGAUAUUCUCGUAAACAAGAUGCAAGUGAGAGAAUAAAAUACAACACACUUAAAUAUUCAAUACACAACAAGGAAUUGAAGAAAGGGUUAAGAGUUUUAUCAUUCAAGAGCUCCAAUCUUCUCCUCCAAUUGUGUGGUUGAUGAUGAACCCUAGCUUCAAGCUUGAUGAAAAUGGCCAAAGAUGACAAAUAAUGUCUUCAAGCUUGCUUUUGUAGUUCCAAAAUUUUCCCACUCAAAAUUAGACCAAAACAAUCCCUGAUUUUCGUUUUUGCAAAACUGUCCAAUUUUAACAGUUUUGCAUAACUGUCCAAUUUGACUUUUUUUUUUUUUUUAAGCAACCACUAAGUAUAACUUAGUGGAGGGAUAUUUAUUAAAUACUAAAUAAUAAGAGUUCAACAGCAACAGAAAAAUAAAACCCAAAACAAAAGCUAUCCUGUCCAAAUAAAAAACAAUAAAUGAAACUAGUCAACAUACACCCCAAACCACACACCACUUCGGAAACUUCUAUAUUGGUCAACUCCACCGGAGUCAUCGCAGAUCCACCAUAAAGCAACGAAAAAUGGUUUUCCAACAUGAUUUCCCUUUAUUUUCGCACCACAAAGCUCUCACCGGUGCAACAAAAACCAUAUCCAAGGAGUUCAACUCAGAGAAACCAAGACACUUAUCUCCAGGUGCAGAGAACCAGUUUUGAAGAACUCACCAGAGACGGUGAAAGGCAUGUUUGAAUCAGAAACAAAAGGAAAAGAAGUGCAAAGAAUGCAAUAGUGCAGUUCACGAUUGGAUGUUUAAUUGGAAGUGGAAGAUGGAGAUUCUUAGUGGUGAUUGUUUUCAAGAAAGUAUUGAUGAACUCCUGUAAACGUGAUGGAUAUGAGUCUAAAUACUGCUUUUGGAGGAUGAAGAGACCAACGAUCCCUAUUUUCCUCAUGUAUGACAUUUAUCUGUAUCAAACGAAAAGCUACAACUAUCAUUUACUAAUUAAAA
This is an RNA transcript of Lycium barbarum (goji berry), 2985 nucleotides long. RefSeq lists it as uncharacterized. The transcript has 4 exons. Lineage: Eukaryota; Viridiplantae; Streptophyta; Magnoliopsida; Solanales; Solanaceae. The record is from RefSeq and is a predicted model, not a curated record.